CUGAGCUAAAUCCCCAGCAACUUUAGGGAAUUAUAUUGACAAAAUAUUACAUUGCAAGAGUUUGUAUUUUAUUUUGCUCCAAUGAUUUUAUAGCUCUUGUGAUAUGGUACUAUUGAAAUGUAAAAUAUUCCACUGUUUGAAAAAGAAAACAUAUAUCACGAAGAAUAUUUCCUUCUCCCAGCAACAAUGCCUCAAAUGCUUCUUUCAUUGAAUGUGCCUGCCUAACUAAUUUUGGAAUAUGUGCACACUUAAGACUUGGCAUCAUACUUCGCAUACUGAAAGAAAAACAAAACCCUGUUUUGAAAGUCUUUAAGGUUAAGCACUUCAGAGGCUGAGACAGGAGGAUCACUAUGAGUUUGAGGCCAGCCUGAACUACAUAGUGAGACCCUGUCUUAAAAACACAAAAAACGAGAAAAUACUUAACAUUUAAGGUUAAGAUGGCAUAAUUAAGUAGAAAAUGUUCUCCUUUACCAGCUGUCUCAAAAAUUUCAUGUCCAAUCUUAUCAGCAAAAUUCAGAAGCGUUGGUAGACCUUUUUCAAAAAUCAUACAAAGCUUUAUUUGCAUUUUAUACAAAGGCCAGUAUUUCAUGGAUGUUUAUUGCUCUCUGAGGUCUGAAGGGAGAAAAUAGCUUUAGUAAGGAUGGGAUUCUUAUUAAAAUGAAAGUGUUAUACAUGGUACAUGAUCUUGUGUUUUUUAGCUAUAUAGCUCAGAAGCCCAUUUAGUAUAUUUAAACUGUAAAUUUUGCAUGCACCCACGGACUAAACUGUAAAUUUUGCAUGCACCCACGGCUAAUUAAGCUUCUAGAAAAUAUCUUUUUACCUAAGUGCUUCUGGGGUCUAUAAGGUGAUUGAAUCAGGAGUGGAUAAAAUUAUGUUUGAGUUACUCUUCUACUUUGCUUUAUGCUUCCUAGGUGAUAUGCGGAGUUCAAUCAAAGUGCAUUCUAGUUGUCCUCACACAAAACUACUUUUGGGAUUUGAUAUGUUCAGGCAGGUACUUGUGGUUGCCAUAAUUAAGGAAUUUAUAAUAUUAAUAGGGCUGGCAGCUUUGGAUGUACCUUCUGUCCACUCCUGUUACCAUAUUUAAAAAGCAGAAACAAAUAUUUUGUCUGGCACUAGUUUCUAUAAAAGGUUUUACUACUAGUGAUAAUAACAGGACCAGCAGAUGAGGAUCAGCUUUCCAGUGGCUGCUAGAAUUAUAUGAUUUGAAUACAUUGUAUUUUAGUAAUUUCUCACACAUUUGCUGUUAGAUGUGGGGAAAAUACCUAUUCCACUGAUCAAGUUACAGAAUGAACGUAUUUUAAAUUUAUUUAGGGGGAAAUGCCCCUCCCCCCCCCAAAAAAGCAAAGAGUGGAAUUGUAGUAGACAAAAGGAGCUGCUCUUUUUCCUUUGUUUGCUUGAUCAUUGGGAUUUAAAAAUUUUUUUAAUGCAUGUCUUUUAAAUUAAUUGGGUAAUGUUUUUCUAAAAUUAAAAUUUUCUUCUUCCUAUAGCCCUGCCAUAGGACAGGCUGAGGCUGAGUCUCAGUGUUGCCCUGUUCAGUCUGAGCAGCAGAAUUUCAGCAUUUGCUACUUACUGGUAGAGAAGAAAAAUCCCACAGCACUGCCAGUACAGGUUAGUUUAAUCUGUAAGUACCUGAUGUUCCUAUUUUUUUCAAACAUAUCCAUAUAACCCACACAAGGAAGAAAGCUGUGCAGUACUUAAAUGUGAGUAUAACUAAUAAUAGAUCCAUUGGACACUUUCAAACACUUAGUACUUGGGGCAAAGUACUUCUAGGUUUGCUAGCUGCAGUUGCAAUAAUGGUUUAAUACUUUAUUACCUUGUACCCAAAUUAUGUUGUAUGUAAAAGGAAGAGUGAAAGAUCCAGUUGGUUCCGCCCUUGUUGGUAUACAAUAAAGAGUCCAGGACUUUGAGUCCAGGGUCUUUGACUUAAGCCACUCCAGUGGUGGUUCUCAUAUUCACCUUUUAACUUUACAGUAUGAAUCAACCAGAGAAUAUGUAAGUUUCCUCACUUCUAGCAGUGAUAAAUGAUGUGUAAUCAUAAGUUAGAAAAUAUUUUUAUACUAGUUAUUUGAUCUUAAGUGUUCUUAGUUACAAGUAAAUAAUGAUUUUUUUAUUCAUCUUUUUUUGUUUAAAAAAAAAGUUGUUAAUGUUGCUGUGCCCCCAGGGGUUCAUUGUACUUUGAACUAAAAAUAAUAUUCAGAUGAAAGCUGACUACUUGUCAAGAAACCUAGCAAGAUUUCUCAAGUAAUUUUUUUGGAAGGGCAACAAGGUUUUUGAAAGAUGUUAACAUUUUUUUAUUAACAUUUUUUCAUUGUAACAGAGUUCAUUGAACCAUUCUUGAGAGAUUUUCUUUAACCCUUAAAUAUUACACUUUAUGUUGGUACAACCUAAAAAUACUGAAGAGGGAGGAAUAAAGUCUACAACUUUGUACAAGCCUGAAGCAUCCUUCCAGAUCUGUAGCACUGAUGCUAAACUUGAUGGGUUCCUUCUCUUUAGCUUAAGCAUUAUGUUUAGCUUGAGAUGGUCUAGCCGUGAAAGUAGUUCAUCUUGUACUCUCUUACACUGGAUAGUGAUUAGCCAUUCUGAAAAUAGAACAUCUUUAUCUGGGAGUCCUGUGUUAAGUCUUUAAAAACAAAACCUAGGGGCAGGGAUUUACCUCAGUGGCGCCUUGCCUGCCUCGAAAGUGCAAGGUCCUGAGUUCGAUCCCUGGUACCAAAAAAAAAAACAACCUGGGUUUGUCAAUUCAUAAGAGAUGUUUUAAGACAAAACUGCCCAAAGGCUUAAGUUUUGUUACCUUUCACAGUUUAAUCUGUAUAAGAAAUGGCAUAGAUACAGUGGAAAUGGUUCUCCUUCAAAUCAUCUCUUUUAAAGCUGCUUUUCUGGUGAGUACUAUCCUGUACUUCUAUGUAUCACCAUUUUUACCUUUUAAAAUUAACUGAAAUCGGACUGAAGAGGUGAGCAAUCUGAAUUUCAUGAUGUCCUUGGAUAUUACUUGCAUUAGGAAUCUUAGAAUGAUUAUUUUACCACCACACAUUUCCCCUACUUCUGCUUUACUUUUUCCCAACCUUCACUUAAUAAAAUAUAUAUACAAACUCAUAAGGCUUAAGGUUUUCCUUUUAGUUGGUAGCCAAAUGAUUUUUCUCAUUGCUUUUAAUUCUUGCAUAAUUUAAAAUACCAGAACUUCUUUGUGUCCUUAUUAAAGCUGACAUUGCAGUGACUCUUGACUAAUUCAGUUGGGAAAGAGGAGGGUUCAUCAAAAUUGGUCGUGCAGACCAAUUGAUUAUAAGGUUCUCUUUAAGUCUUAGUUUUCAAGUGUGUUAUUUCAUAAAUUAUUCAAAUUCUUUGGUUAAAUAUAUUGGUUUCUGGGACUUGUGUAUACCCAUAAAAAUUAGCCUUUGAGUGUUUAUGCCCUGUUUUAUCCUUAACAUGUACAACACAAGGAUUUCUUUCCCUCUGGUUUUUAGCCACAUUCCAGAUGAUGUCAAUAGAGUUUAAAGCUGUUCUCACAUUGUUUUCUGCUUAAUCUUUGUGAAUCUGUAAACUCUCAUGCUUUUUCAUAUAAGCAGUCAUACUUUGCUAAAUAAAUAUGAAAUUAAUAAUCUUGAGUAUGUGAUACAGUAAUGUUCUUUUAGAUAAACACUCAAAGUAUGAACCCUCAAUUUGUGUCUUAAGAUUUAAUGGAAAGUAAGUUCUAAGGAACUGUGUCCUUUCCUAGCAGGAAAAACCAGACUGAAAAACUGGUAAGUAUGUAAUUUUAAGUGCAUGUCAUAGAGUAAGUAGUCACAUUUCCAUACUGUAAUAGUUAACAAGAAUUCUUAAAUCUCCUUUGCGACUUAAAGUGUAUCUCUUAACAUUUUUCACAAAUCUAUGUGGACAGUGAUUAAACUGAAGUAUACUUGUCUGGUUUUCUUUUUUUAGAAUUUUGUAUAGUAUUUUAAAUACUAAUUUUUUUAUUUCAAGCUUUUUUCAGGGUAGAAAUAAGUGGCUGUCAAAAGAAAAUAUCAAGAAGAUUACUUAAAUAUCUUCGUUUAAAACCCAGUAAUGACUUUCAGUUUACUUAAAUCUUCUGUUUUUCAGCUCUGGUUAAAACUGACACUAGGCAGCUGAUCAAAAUUUAAAAACUCAUUGUACUUUUUGUGGAAUAUUUUAGGAAUUAGUGCAUAAUUGUAAAAUGGCAUUAAGCUAUACUUGAUUUACAUAGAGGCUGUGGUUUUAAGGGAGAAAAAUUUGUUUAAAUUUGGAGACCUCAACCCUAAUGUACUAAUAAUUAAGAUAAUAGAGAUUAGGAGACCUCAACCCUAAUGUACUAAUAAUUAAGAUAAUAGAGAUUAAAGUGAAAAGUUUUUAUUUGGUGCAGCCAUGAAACAUGAUUAUUGGUCCUUUUUAAAAAUCAACCCAGUAUAACAUCUAUUUUAUGAAGUGAUACAAGAUCCCAGAGGGUUGUUAGAAAAGAGGGAGCCUGUCUCUUAAUUUAGUCUCAAGGCUUUACUCUCAGCCUUUAUUUUGUGAAGGAAUGCAGUAAAGAAUAAGUAACCAUAUUUGAACAAUAUGGUUGUAAGAAGUACCUUAACAGCACAUGGGGAGGAUAAAUGGCUAGUCUGAAAGUAUGAUUUAAAUGGUCUAGCUACCCAAAAAUCUUCCCUUAAAGCAUUUUUUAUGUAUCUGUAUUAGCUCAAUAAAGGUUGUAAUUACUAGCUUUUAAAUUUUAUCAGCAUUAAAGGUAUAAUACAUGGAUUAUGUGAGAGUUUUAAUUUUUCUUAUGCAAGUAAUGUUAGUACAUCCCUUCACUUGGUUAAAUAACUAGAAGCUUUUGGAAAACAAAACGAGAAAAUCACAUUUGCAGUAUAUAUGUAAGUUUAAUUUUUGUCCACCAAUAGAUUUUUUUUUUUUUUGGUACCAGGGAUCUAACUCAAGACCUUGUGCUUGUGAGGUAGGUGCAGUGCCUCUGAGCUAAAUCCCUUGCCCUGAGAGAUUUUCUUUUCUUUUUUCUUUUUUUUUUUGUACCAGGGAUCCAACUAAGGACCUUGUGCUUGGAAGGCAGGCGACAGCACCACUGAGCUAUAUCCCCAGCCCCCGAGAUAUUUUCUUUAUGCAGUCAUACACUAAUUAGAUUAGAACUCAUGAAAGGACAUUGAAAUUGUUUUUCAUUUUUACAGUGCCCUAGGCACUGUUUAUUAGGCUUUUAAGUAAGCCAAAACUAAUGAAUAGUGAUUUCAUUAUCCAGUGAUUUUUAGUUUGUUAGAGAAUUACAAGUUUUACUUGGGCAUUAUUAAAAGUCAGUUUCUUUUUUUACGAGGAAAGGGUGGACUAUCUCCGUCAUUCAUUAACCUUUGAGUACCUGUUGUCUACAAAGAUGAAUAAAAUAAUUCAUUUGUUAUUUA
This 5378-nucleotide long non-coding RNA is filed under the name Heterocephalus glaber (naked mole-rat). Its description in RNAcentral is "lncRNA (ENSHGLG00000046016.1)". The record is from RNAcentral. Lineage: Eukaryota; Metazoa; Chordata; Mammalia; Rodentia; Bathyergidae.